UAUUAAAAUUUUAUCUAUUUAUACUAUUAAAAUUUAACAUUAUUGACAAAAUAAUUAAAUAGCGGCACGUGACAUGCCGUAUAUACCUCAUGCUAACAAUUGGGGACCAAUUUUUAAUAAUAGAAAUUAAUAAAAAUUUUAACA
Non-coding RNA from Gossypium raimondii (Peruvian cotton), 144 nucleotides. The record is from Rfam. NCBI's taxonomy places the organism in Eukaryota, Viridiplantae, Streptophyta, Magnoliopsida, Malvales, Malvaceae.